UAGUCGAGGACCACCCAAGGACCCAAGCUCCAAGCCUUGUGACUUGCUUUGAAUUUGAAAGCCAGAAAGGCGCUCCGGAGCUACAACUCCCUCGGAACAAAAGAUUUUGAAGUCCCACAUCCCAAGAGCUUGUUGAUGGGGCAUGACUUCCCUGGCUAUUGAACAUGAGCGCGCUCCGCUUCAUCAGAGAGGAUACAAUUUCGAGGAUGGUCAACGUCGCCUUAAGAGGUCACCUGAGUCACCCAGUGGCUUU
Molecule: long non-coding RNA, 253 nt
Filed under: Elaeis guineensis (African oil palm)
Lineage: Eukaryota; Viridiplantae; Streptophyta; Magnoliopsida; Arecales; Arecaceae
Description: long non-coding RNA (EGUI_LNC001031)
Source: RNAcentral